AUGCGCCGCCUCGAGCCGCAGUGGAGGGAGCUGGGGGCAGGGCAGGGAAUAACUGCCGUUCACGCGGCUAAACGUUGGCAGCUUGGGGCGUCGGGCGGGUCACCAGAACAGGGCUCACGCGCGUGCGCCCUUGUGGGCGGUGCGAGAGGGUGGGCGUGUGUGAGGCGGGGUCAGAUUAGGGGAGGGCCGGACUGGUCGUCGCUCCUCCCCCUCCACCCGCUCUGCCCCGCCUGGGCCGUGUGGGCCGGGCAGCCAUUUUGGGAAGAGCUUUGUUAUGGUUGUGGGCUCUACACCUCUGCCGGAUCAGGAAGCUGGGGACGCACCCUCAGACGCCGCGACUGGUCCCUAGCUGUAGCCCCGCCGCUGCCCGUGAUAGAUUCCUGUGGUCUUUAAAAUGAUUGAAUAACGAUGGACAUGAAUGCAAAGUGACUUCUCUACUGAAGCAGAAGAUUCUCAUUGCCUUGCAUUAACUCGGUUUAGUCUUCAAGAAGGGGCAGAAGGAGUGAAAUACAGAAAACUGAAGAGAAGAAAACCUCACUUUGGAACUUUCUCCAUGACUGUUCCUUAAGCCCUUUCUACUUGUUUUAAUUUUGCUGUGAAUUUAUAAAUAGUGAAGACCAAAGAAAUAGAAACAUUUGAGAGCUUUAUACUAAGAAAUUUGCCUUGAGAGCUGCUAUUCUUAGGAGGGGAAAGCAUAUCAAGUUCCUGUCUGAUUUUUUGUUUGUUUUAAACAGGUUUCUUAUGUCCUCAGAUUUUGAAGGAUAAGUCAAAUAUAAAUACAUAGCUACACAUUAUUUUUAGCAACUGUGUAAGAAUAAUGAGAUUUGUAAAUUAAGGGCUUUGUAAUGUGGAUGUUUUGCUACUAGAGUUGAUUACUCAGAAGAUCUUUUAUAGCUCUUCAGUUUUUUAUUUUUGAUCUAUCACUUCAAUGACAUUAUUUGCCCAAACAAAAGUCCAUCUGUCUUUCUAAGCUAUGACCUUUUUGUGAACAGUGUUUGCAUUCAAUGUGCAAAUGUCCAUGUAUUAUCUAUUUAAGCAACAUCAUAGGGCCAUCACUCAAGGAAGUUGAAUGAGGUGAACGUUGAUAUAGCUCUUUCCCCUUCCCCCUAUUUUUUAAAUGUAACAAAUACUUUUUAUGUUCCCCUCCCCCUUCCCCUUUCCCCUUUCCCCUUUUGGAAACGUGUCAGGAUCUAGAUAGUUUAAGAUGAGCAAUUGAGGGGACUGAGAAAUUGAUCCACACAGAGCCUGGCUUCUUUGUGCUUCAUCAUAAGGUGUGCUGCUGGCCAGCCUAAUUUUAAGUACCCUUUUAACAAGAGAACCUCGUGGAAAUCCAGCCGGCAGACUCAAGGAGUUCAGGAAACAGGACCACAGAGGUUACGCUCUGGGGUGAGUAUUCUCCUAUGUCUAACUUGGAAGAAGACUGUGUAUGUAUAUGUAUCAUGGAAAAUAUCUACUGCUUUCUUACAUAUUAUACUUUGGAGACUAUCAGUGGGGUGGUUUGGAGACACCAACAGAUGGAUCUCUCAGGAAAACUGAUUCUAACUGAUGUUUUGAAGAAAUUAAUGUGAACUAAAUAGAAAAACUCUUGAGAGGUUGUAUCCUCCAUCUCUAGGAAGAUCUUUUCUACUGCUUUUGCCUGAAGUUACCUGAAGCAGGUUAAUCUUUUUUCAUAAGUAUCUGUAGUUUUAAGUAGUUGUUUAUUCUUAAGGUUCUUCUGCUAUAACACAAGAAUUCAUUAGCUUCUGUCAUAUAACUUCCAGGUCUGUGACACACUUUUCUGUUUGUGUUUUUCAUGGUUAUAUAUUCACAGACUGUUGUUUUUGUUUAUAACUUCUCUGAUGUAUGGGGCCUGAUGAGUACUCUAGAAAGGCUCAGAGAGCAAGUCUUUCUAUAAACGGGGGACCUUAAAGUAAUCACAGACUCUUUACUUGAUAUCAGGUUCUU
RNAcentral lists this long non-coding RNA (1944 nucleotides) under Delphinapterus leucas (beluga whale). RNAcentral's name for it is "lncRNA (ENSDLEG00000013879.1)". Lineage: Eukaryota; Metazoa; Chordata; Mammalia; Artiodactyla; Monodontidae. The record is from RNAcentral.